UUUAUUCGUACUUUUCCCUUUUCCCUUGGAAACAAUAAAAGUGCGGUGGCGACUCUGGUUUUAUUAACGUCUAGCUUAUCCAUAGCUUGAUGAUCAUGAAUUUACCGCUACAGCUCCAACAUGCCGUGCACCUUAUCAACAAGUGGUCGUCGUUUCACCUGUUCAAAAUUAAAAACCAUAUGAUAUUCCUACCGAUCAAUGGGUCGAUCAA
RNAcentral lists this long non-coding RNA (211 nucleotides) under Lathyrus oleraceus (garden pea). Its description in RNAcentral is "Pisum sativum (pea) long non-coding RNA (PSAT_LNC016775)". The record is from RNAcentral. Lineage: Eukaryota; Viridiplantae; Streptophyta; Magnoliopsida; Fabales; Fabaceae.